UUUUCUCUGAGUUCUGUUUCUCUCCUCCAUUUACUCUGCCUAUCUGAAUGGACCCUAACUAGAUAUCUAAUUAUUAAUGGGAAGGAAAAGGUAAGCUGCUACC
Long non-coding RNA from Phyllostomus discolor (pale spear-nosed bat), 103 nucleotides. RefSeq lists it as uncharacterized. Lineage: Eukaryota; Metazoa; Chordata; Mammalia; Chiroptera; Phyllostomidae. The record is from RefSeq and is a predicted model, not a curated record. The transcript has 3 exons.